UGCAAGUCGAACGAUGAAGCUCUUGCUUGCAAGAGUGGAUUAGUGGCGCACGGGUGAGUAAUGUAUAGCUAACCUGCCCCUUAGAGGGGGACAACAGAUGGAAACGUCUGCUAAUACCCCAUACUCCAUAUAGGCUAAAGUCUGUAUGGGAAAACUCAGGUGCUAAGGGAUGGGGCUGUAUUGUAUCAGCUAGUUGGUGGGGUAAUGGCCUACCAAGGCGAUGACGCAUAGCUGGUCUGAGAGGAUGAUCAGCCACACUGGAACUGAGACACGGUCCAGACUCCUACGGGAGGCAGCAGUGGGGAAUAUUGCACAAUGGGGGAAACCCUGAUGCAGCAACGCCGCGUGGAGGAUGACGCAUUUCGGUGUGUAAACUCCUUUUAUCGGUCAAGAAAAUGACGGUAGCCGAUGAAUAAGCACCGGCUAACUCCGUGCCA
RNAcentral lists this ribosomal RNA (437 nucleotides) under uncultured bacterium. RNAcentral describes it as "bacterial SSU rRNA". It matches the Rfam family "Bacterial small subunit ribosomal RNA", at positions 56 to 510 of the family's 1533-position model. The record is from RNAcentral.